Molecule: ribosomal RNA, 253 nt
Filed under: uncultured bacterium
Lineage: Bacteria
Description: partial 16S ribosomal RNA
Rfam family: Bacterial small subunit ribosomal RNA
Source: RNAcentral
UACGUAGGAGACGAGCGUUGUCCGGAGUUACUGGGCGUAAAGGGCGCGCAGGCGGCCGCCCGCGUGUGUGGUGAAAGCUCCUGGCUUAACUAGGAGAGGUCCAUGCAGACGGGGUGGCUUGAGCGUCGGAGAGGGGCAUGGAAUUCCGGGUGGAGCAGUGAAAUGCGUAGAGAUCCGGAGGAACACCAAUGGCGAAGGCAGUGCCCUGGCCGACGGCUGACGCUCAGGCGCGAAAGCGUGGGGAGCAAACAGG